Molecule: ribosomal RNA, 497 nt
Filed under: uncultured bacterium
Lineage: Bacteria
Description: partial 16S ribosomal RNA
Rfam family: Bacterial small subunit ribosomal RNA
Source: RNAcentral
GAUGAACGCUGGCGGCGUGCCUAAUACAUGCAAGUCGAGCGAACAGAUGAGGAGCUUGCUCCUCUGACGUUAGCGGCGGACGGGUGAGUAACACGUGGAUAACCUACCUAUAAGACUGGGAUAACUUCGGGAAACCGGAGCUAAUACCGGAUAAUAUAUUGAACCGCAUGGUGCAAUAGUGAAAGACGGGUUUUCUGUCACUUAUAGAUGGAUCCGCGCCGCAUUAGCUAGUUGGUAAGGUAACGGCUUACCAAGGCAACGAUGCGUAGCCGACCUGACAGGGUGAUCGGCCACCCGGGAACUGGGCCACGGUCCAGACUACUACGGGAGGCAGCAGUCGGGAAUCUUCCGCAAUGGGCGAAAGCCUGACGGAGCAACGCCGCGUGAGUGAUGAAGGUCUUCGGAUCGUAAAACUCUGUUAUUAGGGAAGAACAAAUGUGUAAGUAACUAUGCACGUCUUGACGGUACCUAAUCAGAAAGCCCCGGCUAACUACGUG